GAGCAAGGACGCCUAUAAAUCGUGACGAAACUUGCAUUGAAGGUUGGCAAAAUCAAAAAAGUUUCUGCGAUUCUCCGUGCCCAUCAAAUCUUUUAAUUUUGAAUGCGGCCUCGAACAAAUCGCUACAUU
This 129-nucleotide small nucleolar RNA is filed under the name Helianthus annuus (common sunflower). Lineage: Eukaryota; Viridiplantae; Streptophyta; Magnoliopsida; Asterales; Asteraceae. The record is from RNAcentral. RNAcentral also lists the same sequence under 1 other name.